This 741-nucleotide ribosomal RNA is filed under the name Serratia marcescens. Its description in RNAcentral is "bacterial SSU rRNA". It matches the Rfam family "Bacterial small subunit ribosomal RNA", at positions 76 to 813 of the family's 1533-position model. Lineage: Bacteria; Pseudomonadati; Pseudomonadota; Gammaproteobacteria; Enterobacterales; Yersiniaceae. The record is from RNAcentral.
UUGCUCCCUGCGUGACGAGCGGGGGACGGGUGAGUAAUGUCUGGGAAUCUGCCUGAUGGAGGGGGAUAACUACUGGAAACGGUAGCUAAUACCGCAUAACGUCGCAAGACCAAAGAGGGGGACCUUCGGGCCUCUUGCCAUCAGAUGUGCCCAUAUGGGAUUAUCUAGUAGGUGGGGUAAUGGCUCACCUAGGCGACGAUCCCUAGCUGGUCUGAGAGGAUGACCACCCACACUGGAACUGAGACACGGCCCAUACUCCUACGGGAGGCGGCAGUGGGGAAUAUUGCACAAUGGGCGCAAGCCUGAUGCGCCCAUGCCGCGUGUGUGAAGAAGGCCUUCGGGUUGUAUAGCACUUUCAGCGAGGAGGAAGGUGGUGAGCUUAAUACGUUCAUCAAUUGACGUUACUCGCAGAAGAAGCACCGGCUAACUCCGUGCCCGCAGCCGCGGUAAUACGGAGGGUGCAAGCGUUAAUCGGAAUUACUGGGCGUAAAGCGCACGCAGGCGGUUUGUUAAGUCAGAUGUGAAAUCCCCGGGCUCAACCUGGGAACUGCAUUUGAAACUGGCAAGCUAGAGUCUCGUAGAGGGGGGUAGAAUUCCAGGUGUAGCGGUGAAAUGCGUAGAGAUCUGGAGGAAUACCGGUGGCGAACGCGGCCCCCCUGGACGAACACUGACGCUCAGGUGCGAAAGCGUGGGGAGCAAACAAGAUUACAUACCCUGGUAGUCCACGCUGUACACGAUGUC